CCUACGGGAGGCAGCAGUGGGGAAUCUUGCGCAAUGGGCGAAAGCCUGACGCAGCCAUGCCGCGUGAAUGAUGAAGGUCUUAGGAUUGUAAAAUUCUUUCACCGAGGACGAUAAUGACGGUGCUCGGAGAAGAAGCCCCGGCUAACUUCGUGCCAGCAGCCGCGGUAAUACGAAGGGGGCUAGCGUUGCUCGGAAUUACUGGGCGUAAAGGGAGCGUAGGCGGAUAGUUUAGUCAGAGGUGAAAGCCCAGGGCUCAACCUUGGAAUUGCCUUUGAUACUGGCUAUCUUGAGUACGGAAGAGGUAUGUGGAACUCCGAGUGUAGAGGUGAAAUUCGUAGAUAUUCGGAAGAACACCAGUGGCGAAGGCGACAUACUGGUCCGUUACUGACGCUGAGGCUCGAAAGCGUGGGGAGCAAACAGGAUUAGAUACCCGGGUAGUCCACGCUGUAAACGAUGAGUGCUAGUUGUCGGCAUGCAUGCAUGUCGGUGACGCAGCUAACGCAUUAAGCACUCCGCCUGGGGAGUACGGUCGCAAGAUUAAAACUCAAAUGAAUUGACGG
RNAcentral lists this ribosomal RNA (560 nucleotides) under uncultured bacterium. RNAcentral describes it as "bacterial SSU rRNA". It matches the Rfam family "Bacterial small subunit ribosomal RNA", at positions 338 to 916 of the family's 1533-position model. The record is from RNAcentral.